This is a long non-coding RNA of Oncorhynchus tshawytscha (Chinook salmon), 997 nucleotides long. NCBI's taxonomy places the organism in Eukaryota, Metazoa, Chordata, Actinopteri, Salmoniformes, Salmonidae. The record is from Ensembl.
GGGGGAGACAGUGAGGCUGGAGAGGGUAUAGGAGAUAGUGAGGAUGGAGAGGGUAUAGGAGACAGUGAGGAUGGAGAGGGUGGGGGAGACAGUGAGGCUGGAGAGGGUGUAGGAGACAGUGAGCCUAGAGAGGGUGUAGUAGACAGUGGGCUGGAGAGGGUGUAGGAGACAGUCAGGAUGGACAGGGUGUAGGAGACAGUGAGACUGGAGAGGGUGUAGGAGAGAGUGAGACUGGAGAGGGUGUAGGAGACAGUGAGGAUGGAGAGGGUGUAGGAGACAGUGAGGAUGGAGAGGGUGUUGUAGACUGUGAGGAUGGAGAGGGUGUAGGAGUCCGUGAGGAUGGAGAGGGUGUAGGAGACGGUGAGGAUGGAGAGGGUGUAGGAGACGGUGAGACUGGAGAGGGUGUAGGAGACAGUGAGACUGGAGAGGGUGUAGGAGACAGUGAGACUGGAAAGGGUGUAGGAGACAGUGAGGAUGGAGAGGGUCUAGGAGACAGUGGGCUGGAGAGGGUGUAGGAGACAGUGAGGAUGGAGAGGGUGUAGGAGACAGUAAGGCUGGAGAGGGUGUAGGAGACCGUGAGGAUGGAGAGGGUGUAGGAGACAGUGAGAUGGGAGAGGGUGUAGGAGACAGUGAGGUGGAUGGAGAGGGUGUAGGAGACAGUGAGGAUGGAGAGGGUGUAGGAGACAGUGAGGAUGGAGAGGGUGUAGGAGACAGUGAGUCUGGAGAGGGUGUAGGAGACAGUAAUGAUGGAGAGGGUGUAGGAUAUAGUGAGGGUGGAGAGGGUGAUGGAGACAGUGAGGGUGGAGAGGGUGAUGGAGACAGUGAGGCUGGAGAGGGUGUAGUAGACAGUGGGCUGGAGAGGGUGUGGGAGACCGUGAGGAUGGAGAGGGUGUAGGAGACAGUGAGACUGGAGAGGGUGUAGGAGACAGUGAGGUUGGAGAGGAUGUAGGAGUCCGUGAGGAUGGAGAGGGUGUAGGAGACAGUGAGGCUUGAGAGG